UCCCCUUACUGUCAUUAAUAUGUUGUAGGGAAUCCCUUGGGUUAGUCAUCCCUUGGGUUAGUCAUCUCUAGCAAGACAAACAUGCGCAAAAACUGUUUGAUUUACUUUCAAUUCAUAAAACGAACAAAUCGAUUUGUUCAUACCAAAAGCGAACCCAACAGCGAAAUCCAAUACAUGUCGUUGGCCAAGACGGUUGGAUUGGUAUUUAUAGCGGCCUUCCGAAAGGAGUCGGAACCACUGAGGGAUUGAGAUUGAGGGACUGACAGAGUGCCCGGCUGUCAGAUUUUAUUUCGUGGUAUGUCUUUUCGGGGGUUUGGAGGGAAACGCGGCUCUUGGAGGUACCCUCGUUCGAAUCCUCUCGACAUCUUUUGCACAAUAAAGAUAGAUUAGCAUCUAUCGAAAGCUGGGUGCCUGCAAGAACGAGGAAAACGAAGAGCGAGUACAGAAAACGAACUCGAAACGCUGAAGCGGCGCAUGACUGAAAGCCGGGGACUGAAAUGGAAGCUGAGGGCAGCACAUCGUCAUUAUCAUCAGAACCUCCAGAGUUUCAGCUCAAGGGCCAUCAUCGUCGUCAUCGUUUGCCUGCCGCUUCGAAAAGCCCAAGAGGCUUAUGCCGAACAGAGACAACCCAAAUAAGAAGUACGGGGUAUAAAGCUAAAUAGCAGAACCAGAGACUCAGUUUCAGAGAACCAACAGACUUGUUUCGCCAUCAUUGCCAUAGUCAUCUCAGAUCCAGUCCAGGUUCUCACGUUUUCCGCUCGGAAUGUAUAUAUGCGAGUAUAUAUAUCUGCACUCUAGAUGAACGGGUAUUCGUAGAGUCGCUCUUAAGCCGGGGUCUACAGUUUUGGCGAGCCGUUCAUAUUUGGCAUACAAUGGAAACGAUUAUGGCAUCGUAUAUGUAUGUUUGUGGAUUAAGGGGGUCGAAUGGGAAGCCAAUGGAUAGAGGGGAGAUGACGAAAUAGGUAAUUGAAUGGUUGACUUUUGUUCUUCCCGUGGAAACUUCCCCGAUAUUGCGAAUGAUCUCUUGAAGGUGACUAACCGAAAUAGGCAAAGUUUUAAUAUGGUGGUUAGGUUUCUCCAGUUGAAAAACCACAUAAAGACUUAAAAUCUGCAGAUUAAACAAUGAAAAACUUUUUUUUAUAUAUAUAGGAGAUAAAAUUACCUUCAUAAACCUUGGGAAUCAUUGCAUGGCCGUCAGUCACGCCAUACUCGAUACCCACCCUUGUGGGUGAAUAAAGUGCCUGGAACCACUGGGACUCGAUGAUUCUGACACAACAAAAAAAGUUACACCCAGGAGCGCCAUAUAAAUGCUAUAAAUAGAAGAGGCCCCAGGGCUCUAACAUUUAUAAUCUUAAUAAAAUGCUACGCCAUACGAUUUUUCUUAUAAAUACAGAGGAAUUAAAACGUUCACCAAUUUAAUGCAAUACACAAUUAAAUGGCAAAGGGCUCUUAAAUAUAAGUCUAUUAAAAGGAUGCGAUCACAAACAAUUGCGUAACAUCAAAAAGCUCAUGGCCGUGUACAUUUUUACAUGCCCUCCGGCUAUACAUCCUCACCAUCCUGCGAUUGGCCUAUGUACUCUACCGUACUAUAUAUGUAUAUAUACCGAACCCCAGCAACAACUCUCGAGGGAAAAAGAAGAAGAAGCGGCGGGCAGACAGAGGACGAGAAUGAGGAUGAAGUUGAAGUUGAGGUAGAGGUAUAUAUAGUCUGUCCUUUGCUCGUCGUAUAUCCCUCAGCGGCAAUUCCGCUUUCAGGGUUUUAUGUCAGAGCUCUUAACGCGCUGGGGUUUCAAUUUUGUUUUGGGGCGCAGCCGUGUGGCAGUAACCUGAGCCAAAGUUGUUGUGUUUGCAUUGAUGUUGCUUCUUCCACGUUUAUCGGGGAAGACCCCGCUCAACCCCUCAACCCCUAAGCCCCGCACACCUAACCCUACACACUCGUAGGUUUUCCGCUUCUGCGAGUGCUAUAGUCAAGCCGUCAGACGAGUCGGACGACGUCGGUCGGAAAUCCUUGAAACGAAAGUCCUGAAGCUCCUGCUCCCGUCGCUUCAGCUUCAUUUUCUGCUGCCCAGGAGGGUUGCCAUCGUAUGGCGAAACUUUGCAGCAAUCGUUGACGGCAAUGUGGCGUUUGCAACGUUUCAUAGACCCAAUUGUGUUACCGUAGCGCCCUCAAUCGACACUGCAAAAUUUAUAACUAAAUAUCACUUAAUAAAUGCCCGA
Molecule: long non-coding RNA, 2217 nt
Organism: Drosophila gunungcola (fruit fly)
Lineage: Eukaryota; Metazoa; Arthropoda; Insecta; Diptera; Drosophilidae
Exons: 4
Source: RefSeq, a predicted model, not a curated record